This 503-nucleotide ribosomal RNA is filed under the name uncultured bacterium. Its description in RNAcentral is "partial 16S ribosomal RNA". It matches the Rfam family "Bacterial small subunit ribosomal RNA", at positions 29 to 507 of the family's 1533-position model. The record is from RNAcentral.
AACGAACGCUGGCGGCGUGCCUAACACAUGCAAGUCGAACGAGAAAGGGGCUUCGGCUCCGAGUAAAGUGGCGCACGGGUGAGUAACACGUGGGUAACCUGCCUCUAAGAUUGGGAUAACUCGUCGAAAGAUGAGCUAAUACCGAAUAAGACCACAGUUCCCGCGGGAACAGGGGUCAAAGGUAGCCUCUGCUUGCAAGCUAUCACUUAGAGAUGGGCCUGCGCACCAUUAGCUAGUUGGUAGGGUAACGGCCUACCAAGGCAAAGAUGGUUAGCUGGUCUGAGAGGAUGAUCAGCCACACUGGAACUGAGACACGGUCCAGACUCCUACGGGAGGCAGCAGUGGGGAAUAUUGCGCAAUGGGCGAAAGCUUGACGCAGCAACGCCGCGUGAGUGAUGAAGGCCUUCGGGUCGUAAAGCUCUGUCGGGAGGAACGAAUGCUCCUGAGGUUAACAGCCUCGGGAGGUGACGGUACCUUCAAAGGAAGCACCGGCUAACUCUUUG